GACAGAGGGUGCAAACGUUGUUCGGAAUGACUGGGCGUAAAGCGCGUGUAGGCGGCUCGGCAAGUCGGAUGUGAAAGCCCUGGGCUCAACCCAGGAAGUGCACUCGAAACUGCCGAGCUGGAGUCCCGGAGAGGAAGGCGGAAUUCUCGGUGUAGAGGUGAAAUUCGUAGAUAUCGAGAGGAACACCUGCGGCGAAGGCGGGUUGCUGGGCCGUCCCUGACGCUGAUGCGCGAAAGCCAGGGGAGCGAACGGG
This 253-nucleotide ribosomal RNA is filed under the name uncultured bacterium. RNAcentral's name for it is "partial 16S ribosomal RNA". It matches the Rfam family "Bacterial small subunit ribosomal RNA", at positions 524 to 776 of the family's 1533-position model. The record is from RNAcentral.